UGUUCCUGUUCCAAUUUCUUGCCCUCCUCCCCUUGUAAAGUGGAGCACCAUUCCAUCACCAACAUAUAUCCCUGCGAUUUUGCACCAAAACAGUUGGCAAAACUAAUAUGACAAAUGCAGCAUCACACACAUUAAAGAAAUAAAAUUACAGAUUCUAAGUCCAUUUCAAGUUGAAUUUUCAAAUUUUCAAGUAUCGAAAAAGAACUAAAGGACUAAUACACACAACAAGAUCAAUGCCUUUAGAGUAUCCAAAUUUCAAAUAUCAAAAAGGAUUGAAGGACUGUGAGUCAACCUCAACAUUUUUGUCCCCAUUGACAUUCAAUACAUACAUUCCUAAAUAUCUAUAGAUUACAUAAUGUGCAGCUAAUGGGGUUAAUUUCCAGCUUAAUUAAAUAUCAAAUACAACAUUGCCUCACAUGAAUCAAUAUC
This 429-nucleotide long non-coding RNA is filed under the name Medicago truncatula (barrel medic). RNAcentral's name for it is "lncRNA gene32242". Lineage: Eukaryota; Viridiplantae; Streptophyta; Magnoliopsida; Fabales; Fabaceae. The record is from RNAcentral.